GCCGUGAUAGUCUAGGGGUUAGAACAUUGGGUUUUGGCCGCAAGAACCCAGGUUCGAAUCCUGGUCACGGCA
RNAcentral lists this transfer RNA (72 nucleotides) under Fasciola hepatica (liver fluke). It matches the Rfam family "tRNA". Rfam says of the family: Transfer RNA (tRNA) molecules are approximately 80 nucleotides in length. Their secondary structure includes four short double-helical elements and three loops (D, anti-codon, and T loops). The record is from Rfam by way of RNAcentral. Lineage: Eukaryota; Metazoa; Platyhelminthes; Trematoda; Plagiorchiida; Fasciolidae.